RNAcentral lists this ribosomal RNA (497 nucleotides) under uncultured bacterium. RNAcentral describes it as "partial 16S ribosomal RNA". It matches the Rfam family "Bacterial small subunit ribosomal RNA", at positions 28 to 507 of the family's 1533-position model. The record is from RNAcentral.
GAUGAACGUUGGCGGCGUGCCUAAUACAUGCAAGUCGAGCGAACAGACGAGGAGCUUGCUCCUCUGACGUUAGCGGCGGACGGGUGAGUAACACGUGGAUAACCUACCUAUAAGACUGGGAUAACUUCGGGAAACCGGAGCUAAUACCGGAUAAUAUAUUGAACCGCAUGGUUCAAUAGUGAAAGACGGUUUUGCUGUCACUUAUAGAUGGAUCCGCGCCGCAUUAGCUAGUUGGUAAGGUAACGGCUUACCAAGGCAACGAUGCGUAGCCGACCUGAGAGGGUGAUCGGCCACACUGGAACUGAGACACGGUCCAGACUCCUACGGGAGGCAGCAGUAGGGAAUCUUCCGCAAUGGGCGAAAGCCUGACGGAGCAACGCCGCGUGAGUGAUGAAGGUCUUCGGAUCGUAAAACUCUGUUAUUAGGGAAGAACAAAUGUGUAAGUAACUAUGCACGUCUUGACGGUACCUAAUCAGAAAGCCACGGCUAACUACGUG